This is an RNA transcript of Sorghum bicolor (sorghum), 8504 nucleotides long. RefSeq lists it as uncharacterized. The record is from RefSeq and is a predicted model, not a curated record. The transcript has 3 exons. Lineage: Eukaryota; Viridiplantae; Streptophyta; Magnoliopsida; Poales; Poaceae.
CCAGCGGAUGAUGUAAAGUCGCGAUUGACACUCUUUGAGUGCUCUGAUAAACCCCCUUCUUUCCUUCCUUUCACUCUCUUCUCUCAUUUCUAGGGCUAGUUACAAACUCACAAUGCUAUUGGAAGAGUUGAAAGCAGAGCACACUACAAGUUAUUGGUGUUAGAGUUUGUGUAGAUUUGGUCAGCAUGCUGAGGCUUUUAUAGAGCUAAAACGUUAAGCUUACCCUUCACAUGCAAAUGUUCAACCAAGUUGCAUAAGUUUAGUGCAAUUUGGGCGACAAACUUGCAUGGUUUUAUGGACUAUUCACUGUAUUAGAUUCUGAGAGUUUGGUAUUUGCAAUGGAAUCUGAAAAUUAUAUCAUGGCUUAAGGGGGCUUUAAGCGGUACCAUGCAUCAUGCCAUGUGAGCGUUCACAAUCUCACAAAGGCAGCUUCACUUCCGAUUUGGAUUGGACUAGAGGUAGACCUUUUUGAACUCCCUCUUUUAUAACAAUUCUUAUAGUAACAUGCAAGUUGCAAUGUACAGAAUCGUUUGAUAGUUUCUAUAGAGGUGCUCCAGAAUGGUUCGUUUGUACUAGACAAGACUGUUCUUGGAUGCCUAAACUAAUAUGUCCAUUAUCCUUGCUUUGCCUCUUUGAGCAACUUUUGAGAUCUCUCUAGGGGUGAUCACUCUGAAGGGUUGGUAGGAUCCUUAUGUAUCUUUGGUCAGUUUUGAGCAGCUUUAAUGAUUUUAUUUUACUUUUUGCUGAUCCUUUUUUUUUGAAUGAAUAAGAAUAUUUUAGUUCAUCACAUAACUGUUUGAGCUUCUUGUGUCUUUUUGAAUGGUGCAGAUUACAGGUAACUUUUAUGUUUUCCAUGUUACUUAGAGAUAGUUCUACUAUAUAUUAGAAAAAUAGCUGCAAUUAGAAUUAGUCCUAUUUAUCCAUCUCUUCUUACCUGUCACAUGUUCUGGCCAUUUCUGCUAUUCUCUAUGCAUUGGUAAUUGGUUUUGUCCCACCUUUAUCAGUUAGUGUUAUUUAGAUGUUAACCUUCUUUUACUAUACACAAUAUGGAAGCAACUUAAUUCAUCAUGAGCUCUCGCACAUUUUUGUUGACCACUGGAUCUGAUGGUAUAUUGUAACAUGGUUUUGCUGCUCAAAAUGUGUACAACAUGGCCCAUGCUGUCGUUUGUUAGAGGCUUCCAAGGUACACAAGUUACCUGUUGUAAAAAAAAAAAAUGUACACAAGUUACCAUUUUGUCCCAUGGUUGCUCCAGUUGUCCAUUAUUAUACAUGAUACUACUUUGGGCAUUGAGUUUUGGUACUUGUUCUUUUUGUUUUUCUGUACUCAUUUCUAAUUCUCAUGUAUGCAUCCUGGCAACAAAUCUAUGUUGCAACUUUUAACAAAUUGACUCUUUCGUUUACCGAUACAUAUGUUGGUCAAGACUGCAAGAACAAGGUCCACAUGAACUUUUAAGGCGGCAAAGUUGCAACUUGCUUGGUCUUGUCCCAGGCUGUUCUUAGCCUCGUGACUUGUAUUUGCCAAUAACAUAAAAUUAUUUAUUAUCACCUCAAGAGUGUGCAUUACUGAAAGUCUCUUUUAUGGACCGUACCAUCAUAUCGUAUUCCUACUAUUAGCUAGGAUACUGCACUUCUAAUGAUGAUGAUCAUCGAGGGGACAUUAUUUAGUCCCUCUGUUCCAAAUCAUAAGUUACCAUUGUCUUAGGACUAUCUCUAACUUUGAUCAAGUUUCCAGAAAAAUAUAUUAACAUCUAAAUAUGCUAUUAUGCCCCCCCCCCCGCCUAUCAUUUGGAAUGUCUUUCAAUUUACAAGACAUGGUCAAAUGUCAAAUCGUGCUUAUUGCAUAAAGAACACAUUAGUCUAGGAGUUAAGUAGAAACAUCUUUAUCUGGAUACGGUUCUUACUGGAGGAGUGAAUCGAGGAUAUGAAAUUUGAGAUGAACAGACAGACUGUCACCUUUCCUGUGAUGUGUUAGAGAUUUAAUCUUGGGAAACUACCAUGAAAUCAGCUUAGAUAAGAGAAUAUGAUCAAGUGGCUGGAUUAUUUAGGCAAUGCACCACUUUUAAAAAGUGCAUGAUGGCGGUGUUCCAUGAUGGUUUUUGCUUGAAAGACAUAACUGAAGUUAAUAUUAUGGGAGAACCAAACUAGGUGACUUAAUGCAUAUGACAUUUUCACAAAUUUAGAAAGGAAGAGCCAGUUGACUGAAAGACAUCGAUUGGCAUUUGAAUUAAAACAUUUGGAUCAUGGUCUUUAUUUUUGGCGUACUGUUGGAUCAUGGUCUUGAAUUAAACUCUGUUUUUCCUCUUUGACCUCUUUUGCUUAAAGUGGUGAUCUUAAAAUUACCUGGCUAAGUUUUUCUUUUUUUUUUAAAAAAAAAUGUGUAAAUUCGUCCUUAGAGAGGCACCAUAAAAAACUGCAAAACAUUCACCACUUCGGUUGCCAGAUUGCUUUUUAUUGCUACAUUUUUAAUAGCUCUGUGGUUACCCCUGAGUUACUAUUAAGUAUUUCAGUGUUACACUUACGUUACUUACAUCACAAGCCUGGUAUGAUUUUCCCCCUAAGAAAAUGUGGAAAUAGGAACCAAAAGUAACUAUAUUUUAUUUAAUUGCUCCACAAUGAUUAGAACUCAGAGACAUUUGGCUCUCAUACCAUUUUGUGUUGCAUUCACCAGCUAGUCCACCCUAAAAGCUUAAGCUAAUAGGAAAAGAUGAUUAACUUGCUUGUACUUCAACAGCUAUAUCCCUCGAGAUACGAAAAUGCACGAAAAUAACCAUGAAAAGUUAUGAAAAUACUUUUCUAACAUAGGUCAUGCUGUCAUGCAUCAUCGCACAAAAUGUGACCCAAAAGAUGUACUAGGAGAAAAAAAAAGGUGGUGGAUUGGACUUGGACCAAUUUGAAUAGUUGGAGUAAAUAGAGUCGAUAUUUUGUACAGGGGACAAAUGGAUGAAAUGCAUUGCUUUGGGUAGUAAAAUGCUUCUUUUCCUUAUUAUUGAAUGACAAAACUGAAGGCAAUAAAAGGCCCUACUGCUCAUUGAUUAGAAGCAAAGGCUGUCAUAUUGCACUAUCUUUAGAAUGGGAAGUUUCUUGCUGGUGCCUAUCUUGUUUCUAGUAAAUCAACCUAUAAUCUUCCUUUGUUUUGUUCUACUAUUAUGAGUUCUGUAGCAGCAUAGCUGAGAGGUUCAAUGUAUAUGGAGAUUUGCUCUGAUUUGAUUCCCUAGUACAUGAUGAAUGUUCAACCCUACAGUCGCUAUGGCUUCCUCUUGCAACAUUUUGGACUUGAUGACAAUGUCUGAUAGUGACUUCACUGAUGAUGUUUGACAAGUUUAAUGAGGUAUAAAGAUAAAGUACUUUUGAUGGUAAAAUCGGAAGAAUUGAACUUCAGUAUCACUAUAUCUGGAAAAUAGAUAAUGGCAACAAAAUAUGAUUUCAGGGACACCUACAUAAGAAUUCAAGUAUUUUUGUUUGUUUAAGUUAGUUUAAAUUCCCCAGUUACAGAGGAACAGGUAUUCCUGUGUUUUCCAUUCAAAGAUCUUCAGAGUAUGAGGUCUAUGUGUAUUCCUUUUUCUACCUUGAUUUUUUUUGCGAGUAUCUUUUUCUACCUUGAUUAGUUCAUCACCAUCCAAGAUUGCCGACUUGAUCACCAGGUAUGUGUCUAACAUUGUUUUAAUGACAAACGAAAGAGAUAACCCUGCUGCAAUGCAUGGAAAGUGAAACCAGACAAGUCUCCUGAAGUCUGAAGCUGUACCCAAAAGGUUUGCGUGUUCAGCAUUUCUUAAUGCAGUAGUACAAGGUAUAAUGCAUUUGUUAAAAGUGUAAUGCAUUAGCUGUAACUUCAUGCUGAUACAUGGAAGGUGAAAUCAGACCAGUCUCACUGAUGACUGAAGUUUCUGUUCUAUCCCUCUAUUGUUUGUAGAGCAUUCUAUAGUUGCAGUAUUACCAGGUGUUAACAUCUGUCAUGGAUGGGCUUAAUCGCUCUUACUCUAUGCAUCAAGGUGACCUUCCUGGAAGCUUCCCACUAAGCACUGCUGGGAAUAGUUUUUGGGGUCCCUUUCUUGGAGUCACUAAACAACCUUCCCCCACCUUUGUUGCACACGGGUGGAUGGGCGGCCACUUUAUCUUGUCUGUUUUUACCAUUGUAGUUCUCUGGUGUGGUCAUGGCCAUGCAUAGUUUAAGCUUUUGCUAGCUCCUAAGCUCUAUGCCUGUAGACGAAUGAGUAGGAUAAGUGUAGGGUCAGCAGUAUGCCUCCUAGUGCAUUAACAAACUGCCUGCAUGUGGGGGUAUGAUGUUCUUUUGAUAUGGCAUAUCCCUUGUGAACCUCUAUAUAAAGCCAUUGCCUGCUGCAUUCCCUCUCACCAUACCACUACACUAGAUAUCAUACAGCAAGUUGCCCAGUUCUGCACCCUUUCCUCCUCUCAUUUUCCUUGCACCAAACUUCUUCAUCAGACCAUGAAGCUUGGAGGACAGGGGAGGCAGAUGGGGAGGCUGAACAGAGCCUUCAGGGAGAAAAGGGCUAGGUUCUACAUUUUCCGCCGCUGCGUUGUCAUGUUGCUUCGCUGGAGCGAUUAGAUAUUGAUCUCCAUGGGAGAUUAUUUCCCCUCCACUCUAGAUGUUUUUUUUUUUGGCACUGCCAUUUUGGUAGAGUUUAGAGUUUAGGCGUAGUCGUUGCUCACUUCUGUGUACAGGAUGGCCGUGUGCUGGUUCUAGUGGCAAUCUUUUUUGUUUUCUUGCUUGCCUGUUGUUUCAGGCAAGGGUGAUUGAUCCAGCUCUGUGGUCUGAGAUUGCCAAACUUUGUACUACUGGAAGAAGAUUCAUAUGAAAAAUCUGUUGUUAACGGUGAUGAUAAUGAUUAGCAAUCUAUUAAAAAAUUGUAAGCCUUGAGAAUGAAUGCUGAAGCUUUUUGUCAUGAAGAUAUACUUCUUAAUAGAUUGAAAUGAUUCAUAUGAGAUGAUUGCGCCUUUAUCCUUUUGAUAGAAAGUUGAGAUCAAAUCUCACCAUAUAUGAAGGAAUACAUCUGUCUUUAAUUUUGUUUUCCUUUGUUUUUGAGCAAAAUCGUUUUCCUUUUGUAAUGGUCAAAUCUUGUUGACUGGGAAAUAAUGACAAAGUUUUCUUUUGGAAGAAGUAGAAUGGCAGGAGCUCUACCUUUGAGUUGAGAUAGAAAAGAGAGUUUUGAGACAACACAAGAUUAUAGUCUGGCCGCAGCCGGCAGGCCUAGACACGCCAUGGCUGAAACCCAGCCAGAACAAGCAGCCAGUGGCAAAAUAGAAAAAUGAGCCCAUGAAAAGACUGGAAAACUGUGAUUUUGGGAUGCCAGAGGAGAGAAUGUCUCAAAUACUAGACCGGAAAAGGAAAAGUUUCUCUUCACUUGUACGACCGGGAAAAAGUAAAGUUUCUCAAAUAGACUGAUAGAAGAGGAAAACUGUAAUUUUGUGGUGCAAUGGCCAAUGAUAUGUAUGGCAUCAACUAGGGAACACACUGUAACCUUUUUGAGUGGAAGCUGAUUAAAACACAACUAAAUCUUUUGAGUGGAAGCUGAGUAAAACACGAGAGAGUAUUUGUUGAGUGGGUACCUAAUCAGACUGGCUAUUGUCUGAAUCAUGUCAAAUGUCAUUUCAGUAUCUUCUUUUUUUUUAAAUGAAAUUUCAAUAUCUUACUCUUGACUAAUUUAAAUGAAAGGUUCUGCAAAUUGCUAAGUUCACUAAGCACACUGAGCACUGGCACUUCUUUUCUGGAACUUAUUACUGCAAGUGUGUUUACUGCAAAUUCUUGGUCAGAUGAAACUCCCAGACUUCAUCAGAGGCAUGGGGAAAAAGGGCGUCAUGGCCUGCACGUGCCUCAGGGCCUUGGGACAUGGGUGCCUGCCCCGCACGCUCUCCUGCGUGCGUGCGUGCGUUUGUCCUCUUGCUCACUCAUUUGCCUCUGCUUGGUCACAUCCGCAGCUGUGGCUCUGCAUAUAUCCUGCAUUGUUUUCUUCUGUUCCUGGCUCCAUAAGAAAUGCAGGAGGACUGCUCUCCCCAGAAGCCAGAAGACAGGGCCCCUGUAUUCCUGAUAACGGACAGCUCAUCAUGCUGCUGCUACCCGAGUACGUGUACGUACGAUCCUGCAGAUUCAGCGGUUCAGCAUGGCUGUGAUGGAAGUUCAUUGUACCUGGCAGAGCUUCAUCAUGCGGCUGGUAUCUUAAUUUAUCCCCUUGCUGUCUUGCUUUUCUUCUCCAUGUUACACUUGGAAGGCUCACACCACUGUAAACUGUCUGCUUGAUCAUCCUGUGUAAGGAUAGCCGUGAUCUUCUUGCAUUUCCCAGAUCUCCUUGGAGUUGGCAGUAGUUACUAGUAACAAUGUAUGCUACUGUACUUUAUCCUGCUGUCGGUAGAUUAUGCCGGCAAGGAGUUGGGAAAAGUUCCUAGAGAUGUAAUACUCGAGUAUCUUGGAGAUUUCCUCAUGUCGUCUCGGUCCGUUCGGAAGUUGCUAGGAAGGACGGAAUGAGUAUCCGUAUCAUCUGUGCCGCCGGAGGAUCUUUUUGACUGGAAAAUACUUUUGAGUGUACUUGUGUCAGAUGAUUAAUUAGGCCAUCAUCUUUUGUGUGUCUUGGGUUCGGGGUGCUUGUCUUGUGAAGUUGUGGGCAUUCUAGCCGUUUGAUGCAAUAUUCUUCAUUUCUUUGUUAGUGGCACUAUCCAUGUCUCUGCUAAUUGCUAGCCAAGAACAAGACAUGAUACACUAUUGUUGUAUAUAGGGCUUUUGUCUGCUGCUCGACACUUGAGGAGUACUUGUUAUUUUUGUUUUAUCGAAAAUGGUUCCAUGUGUUGAUUUUGUGAUUCUCUUUGUUAUUUUCCUAUCAUGAGAAUAUUUUCUGCUGUGUCGAUUAAGAGUUUUUCUUUCUUCUCUAUCAUGGGGUUCUACUAAGUUGGCCUUUAGUACUGAAGUUGAUUCUGUUGUUUAUGAUUGGUAAUAAUGGGUGCAUGCAACACUGGCUAACUGUGUGUUGAAUCUUCUGUGUGAAUGUGGUCAAGCAUGUGACAUACCAUGUCUCAGUGCUGGGCAUGUAGCACACAAGAACUGUCUCAUGUUCACCAGCCAGGUCAUGGUCAAUGAGUUGAAUCUUAACCUCAUGAUAAUCUUUAGUUGCUUUCCUUAUUCCCUUUCUCAUAUAUUGGUAUCUUGAUUAAGAUAAUAGGCGCCGAUUCAGCACAUGGUGAGAAAGCUUGCAUGUCCAUGAUGAGUUUAUUAGCAAAAAGGAAAGAAAAGAAUAUCUGAUUUCUAGUACAGUUACUAACAGGUAUGCAGAGUUAUCUUACUGCUUGAUUGCCUGUAGCAGCUAAAAUCAACAUGUACUGAUUGAUUCCUCCAUUUUGUUCGAAUGCUGAGGAUCUGUUGAGGCCUGGUAGUUCCGCACUUUUUGAUUGGCUGCCUGGUGGUGCCUAAUGCUUAGAUCAAUCAAUGUUCAGUUCAUCAAUUUUCUGUGUAUGUAGUGGCUAAAUUCAUAUUAUAUUGUACCAAGUCUACUUUAGGAGCCUCGGUUAUGCCGUUUCAGGCUGUUGAAAGGUUAUACUGUAUAGAUUAAUUCAUGAUUCAUGAAGUUGCUUUAGGUCCCACUAUGAUCAGUUCAUCAAUGUUGCCUAGUGCUAACUGCUAACCUAAAUUUUGGUUGCUUGUCAUGGAACCAGGAGAAUAUACAGUUCCAAGAAUAGAUGAAAAAUCUGAUAAGGGUAAUUGGACUUUUUUUUUCUCUCUUUUGAACGAACCAUACAAUACAGUGCAAAGUUUAUAUUGAUAAUAAAACUGGAGAAAAUACAAGAUCAUAGUCCUUGAAUUUUGUGUUGAGAUGGGCAAUACAUGCAUCUCACUGAAUUCCGAACUAACUUUUAUCUCCUCGCAUGCAAUUCUCCAUCCUAUUGUUUUCCACACCCAGGAAAUAUAGAAAUACACAUAUGUUUCCUGUCUCUCUGCACAGUGUGGCUGGGGAAUUUCUAUUAUAUCCACUAGGGACGUCCAAGUAUGGAUCUGAUUAGGGUUGUUGUAACCAGCAUGAACAAUGCACAUGACAUAUCUGCAGGCAAGGAGCAAAAACAAGCUCCACUGUCGAGUCCAUGCAUUCCCCUGUUGUUUUUCACAUCUUCCAGCUUACAUCUAUUCUACUAUACAGCCUGUCAGUGAGUGUCCUGUCCAUUUGGCGGUGCAAAGGGCUAACUGCAUCCCUGAGCAACCCUAGCUGCAGCUUUUGUUUCAGGCAGGCGUGGAUGGCCACUUGAUCCUGUCCGCGGCGCGGCGCACGGUCCUCAAUCAUGGCGGGCGCUGCUCCUCAGCGCCCAUCAAGGGUCCAUGAUCACAUUGCGAUGCAGGUAAGUAUCCUAUCGAUCUGCCCCCUAAACGCUUUAUCCUAAUAAGCAAUAGAAAAAUGGAAGGAGCAUGCACUUGGACUCAGAAGUGUCCCCUCUAAGCCACCAAGUGUUGACUGCAUGUGAGCGGUGGGUGGCGGUUGUCUUGAGAUCCUGGCCCCUUGUCUAUAUAAACA